RNAcentral lists this ribosomal RNA (875 nucleotides) under uncultured bacterium. Its description in RNAcentral is "bacterial SSU rRNA". It matches the Rfam family "Bacterial small subunit ribosomal RNA", at positions 31 to 905 of the family's 1533-position model. The record is from RNAcentral.
CAACGCUGGCGGCGUGCCUACACAUGCAAAGUCGAACGAGAAAGUGGGGGCAACCCUGCGAGUACAGUGGCAGACGGGUGAGUGACACGUGAACAACCUACCCUCGAGUGGGGAAUAACACCGCGAAAGCGGUGCUAAUACCGCAUAACAUCUUAGGGUCGCAUGAUUUUAAGAUCAAAAGCGCAAGUUGCUUGAGGAGGGGUUCGCGCCUGAUUAGCUAGUUGGUGAGGUAACGGCUCACCAAGGCAACGAUCAGUAGCCGGCCUGAGAGGGCGGACGGCCACACUGGAACUGAGACACGGUCCAGACUCCUACGGGAGGCAGCAGUGGGGAAUUUUGCGCAAUGGGCGAAAGCCUGACGCAGCAACGCCGCGUGGAGGAUGAAGGCCUUCGGGUCGUAAACUCCUGUCGAUGGGGACGAAAGCCUCGCAAGAGGUUUGACUGUACCCGUUGAGGAAGCCACGGCUAACUCCGUGCCAGCAGCCGCGGUAAUACGGAGGUGGCAAGCGUUGUUCGGAAUUACUGGGCGUAAAGGGCGCGUAGGCGGCCUGACAAGUCAGAUGUGAAAGCCCCGGGCUUAACUCGGGAAUUGCAUCUGAAACUGUUUGGCUUGAGUCCUGGAGGGGGUAGUGGAAUUCCCAGUGUAGCGGUGAAAUGCGUAGAUAUUGGGAGGAACACCUGCGGCGAAGGCGGCUACCUGGACAGUGACUGACGCUGAGGCGCGAAAGCUAGGGGAGCGAACGGGAUUAGAUACCCCGGUAGUCCUAGCUGUAAACGAUGGGCACUUGGUGUUGGGGGUAUUGAGUCCCUCGGUGCCGGAGUAAACACGUUAAGUGCCCCGCCUGGGGAGUACGGUCGCAAGACUGAAACUCAAA